RNAcentral lists this transfer RNA (78 nucleotides) under Planctomycetota bacterium. RNAcentral's name for it is "Planctomycetes bacterium (marine metagenome) tRNA-Pro". It matches the Rfam family "tRNA". Rfam says of the family: Transfer RNA (tRNA) molecules are approximately 80 nucleotides in length. Their secondary structure includes four short double-helical elements and three loops (D, anti-codon, and T loops). Further hydrogen bonds mediate the characteristic L-shaped molecular structure. tRNAs have two regions of fundamental functional importance: the anti-codon, which is responsible for specific mRNA codon recognition, and the 3' end, to which the tRNAs corresponding amino acid is attached (by aminoacyl-tRNA synthetases). tRNAs cope with the degeneracy of the genetic code in two manners: having more than one tRNA (with a specific anti-codon) for a particular amino acid; and 'wobble' base-pairing, i.e. permitting non-standard base-pairing at the 3rd anti-codon position. The record is from RNAcentral. Lineage: Bacteria; Pseudomonadati; Planctomycetota.
CGGGGCGUAGCGCAGCCUGGCUAGCGCGCUGCAAUGGGGUUGCAGAGGUCGGAAGUUCGAAUCUUCUCGCCCCGACCA